Molecule: ribosomal RNA, 1712 nt
Filed under: human gut metagenome
Description: bacterial LSU rRNA
Rfam family: Bacterial large subunit ribosomal RNA
Source: RNAcentral
GCCUGAACUGAAACAUCUAAGUAGGGCGAGGAAAAGACAUCAACCGAGAUUCCGCGAGUAGUGGCGAGCGAAAGCGGAAGAGGCCAAACCGAAGGUAGCAAUAUCUUCGGGGUUACGGACAGCUAAAUGAGAAGCGAUUUUUAGAAGAACGGCAUGGGAAGGCCGGCCACAGAGUGUGAGAGCCACGUAUUUGAAAAGGAUCGUAAUCUGGCUGUAUCCAGAGUACCGCGGGACACGAGGAAUCCCGUGGGAAGUCGGGGGGACCACCCUCCAAGCCUAAAUACUACCUGAUGACCGAUAGUGGAGCAGUACCGUGAGGGAAAGGUGAAAAGAACCCCGGGAGGGGAGUGAAAUAGUACCUGAAACCUUGUGCUUACAAGCAGACAUAGCCCGUUAAAGGGUGGUGUCGUACUUUUUGUAGAACGGUCCGGCGAGUUAUAGUAACUGGCGAGCUUAAGGUAUUGAGUACCGGAGGCGAAGCGAAAGCGAGUGUUAAGAGCGCGUAUAGAGUCAGUUGCCAUAGACCCGAAACCAGGUGACCUAGCCAUGUCCAGGAUGAAGUGGAGGUAAAGCUCCAUGGAGGUCCGAACCCACGUUCGUUGCAAUGACCGGGGAUGAGGUGUGGCUAGCGGUGAAAUUCCAAACGAACUUGGAGAUAGCUGGUUCUCCCCGAAAUAGUUUUAGGACUAGCGUUGGGUAUGAGUUUAACGGCGGUAAAGCACUGAAUGGGCUAGGGGGCGAUAAGCUUACUGAACCCUAUCAAACUAAGAAUGCCGUAUAAAUGCUUACCAGCAGUCAGACUGCGAGUAAUAAAAUCCGUAGUCAAAAGGGAAACAGCCCAGAUCUACAGCUAAGGUCCCUAAUACAUGCUAAGUGGAAAACGAUGUGAGAUUGCGAAAACAACCAGGAUGUUGGCUUAGAGGCAGCCACUCGUUCAAAGAGUGCGUAAUAGCUCACUGGUCGAGUGAUCUUGCGCGGAAAAUUUAACGGGGCUAAGCAUGUAACCGAAGCUUAGGGUUUACAGCAAUGUAAGCGGUAGGGGAGCGUCGAAUACGGGGUGAAGUCAUACCGAAAGGAAUGGUGGACUGUAUUCGAGUGAGAAUGCCGGAAUGAGUAGCGAGAAUUAUGUGGGAAUCAUAAUGGCCGAAAGUCUAAGGUUUCCUGGGGAAGGUUCGUCCGCCCAGGGUAAGCCGGGAGCUAAGGCGAGGCCGCAAGGCGUAGUCGAUGCACAUACGGUAGAAAUUCCGUAGCCGGCUCAACUGUUAAGCAUACUGACACAUGAGAGUAGCUCUACCGGGCGUUGGUUGCCCCGGGCGUAAGCGAGCCGAAUGAGGCGAAGUGAGUAAAUCUUGUGGCGAGAAAAGGUGUGUGGAUUGGUUGGGCUGCCCGUACCGCAAACCGACACAGGUAGAUGAGGAGAAGAUCCUAAGGCCAUCGGGAGAAGGGUUGUUAAGGAACUAGGCAAAUUGACCCCGUAACUUCGGGAGAAGGGGUGCCUACGAGAGUAGGCCGCAGAGAAUCGGCCCAAGCAACUGUUUACCAAAAACACAGGUCUCUGCUAAAUCGAAAGAUGACGUAUAGGGGCUGACGCCUGCCCGGUGCUGGAAGGUUAAGAGGAGGACUUAGUGGCAACACGAAGGCCCGAAUUGAAGCCCCAGUAAACGGCGGCCGUAACUAUAACGGUCCUAAGGUAGCGAAAUUCCUUGUCAGGU